Long non-coding RNA from Bombus terrestris (buff-tailed bumblebee), 798 nucleotides. RefSeq lists it as uncharacterized. The record is from RefSeq and is a predicted model, not a curated record. Lineage: Eukaryota; Metazoa; Arthropoda; Insecta; Hymenoptera; Apidae. The transcript is spliced from 2 exons.
CACCCACACCAGUCUUUACCAUCUGUCUCUUUCUAUAGCGUAGGCUGGUAGUAUCUAUCUCUAUCCACAUUUCGUUCUCUCUCUUCAAUCGCAUCUCCUGCUCUAUCUCCAUUUCUACCCAGCUUCGCCGGUACCGUUUUCUCAUAUUCUCUCUGCGCGCGCCACUAUGGCGCAUCACUAUAGGAAGAUAUAGUGCGGGCCUGACUACAUUGCACGCAACUAUACAACGUAUAGUAGUACGGCGCAACGCGGCAACGGAAGACAAGGCCGUACCACUCGCGGCGAACUGAGGAUACGAAAACAGUUUCAUACGACCGACGCCAAUGGUCUACGUAUCACCACUAUGAUAGCUCGACAAAGUAAAUAAUAUCGUGGCUAUUCAUUAAUCAAACACGAUGCGGCGGUGGUCGUGAACUUUUACCGGUUCCGUGCGGGUGACGUUCCGCGAUGUGAGACGUACAACAUCAGGUUCUGGACCAAGCACCGCUCAAGCGGAUGAAACAUAGCCCUGUGGACGUUGAUGGAUUCGCGAACCAGCAUCAAAGGAUACUAAAUCUCUAUUAUCUGCUCCUGGCAAAGAUGAUUCCGUUCCGGGACCAUCGUGAAUUCCGCCUGAUCGCCUCCGUUUUCCAAAAUUUUGUAUACACCACCAUAUCUCACAUUAUUGGCAACUUAUUGAAAUGUUCCAAAUUUAUAUCAGCAUCUUAACUUACACUACCGAUCAUAAGUAUUAACACAUUCCGUACAAUCGAAAUAAUAUUAUCCAUUAAUAAUAAAUCCACGAUAAUUAUGUUAUUA